GUGAGCGUAGCUCAGUUGGUAGAGCCCCGGAUUGUGAUUCCGGUCGUCGUGGGUUCGAGUCCCAUCGCUCACCCCA
This 76-nucleotide transfer RNA is filed under the name Gammaproteobacteria bacterium. Its description in RNAcentral is "tRNA-His". It matches the Rfam family "tRNA". Rfam says of the family: Transfer RNA (tRNA) molecules are approximately 80 nucleotides in length. Lineage: Bacteria; Pseudomonadati; Pseudomonadota; Gammaproteobacteria. RNAcentral also lists the same sequence under 5 other names. The record is from RNAcentral.